Molecule: ribosomal RNA, 234 nt
Filed under: Triticum aestivum (bread wheat)
Lineage: Eukaryota; Viridiplantae; Streptophyta; Magnoliopsida; Poales; Poaceae
Description: partial small subunit ribosomal RNA
Source: RNAcentral
AUGGCCCCGGAACCCUUUAGCCUGAUCUGGGACAUCCGCCUACCUCUGAAGAUCAGGACCUUCCUGUGGCAAUGGAUCCGUGGACGCCUCCCCUCCGGAGUUGAAGUCCUCAAGUGUAACGGCCCGGGCGAUGGGAGGUGUCCCAUCUGUGGCACGAUCGAGGAUGCUAACCACAUCUUCUUCUCGUGCUCUACUGCCCAGUUCCUGUGGGCCUGCUUCCGCGAAACGGUCGGU